Molecule: ribosomal RNA, 753 nt
Filed under: uncultured Micromonospora sp.
Lineage: Bacteria; Bacillati; Actinomycetota; Actinomycetes; Micromonosporales; Micromonosporaceae
Description: bacterial SSU rRNA
Rfam family: Bacterial small subunit ribosomal RNA
Source: RNAcentral
AUGCAGUCGAGCGGAAGGCCUCUUCGGGGGUACUCGAGCGGCGAACGGGUGAGUAACACGUGGGUAACCUGCCCUUGGCUCUGGGAUAACCUCGGGAAAUCGGGGCUAAUACCGGAUAUGACACGUGACUGCAUGGUCUGCGUGUGGAAAGAUUUUUCGGCUGGGGAUGGACUCGCGGCCUAUCAGCUUGUUGGUGGGGUAGUGGCCUACCAAGGCGACGACGGGUAGCCGGCCUGAGAGGGCGACCGGCCACACUGGGACUGAGACACGGCCCAGACUCCUACGGGAGGCAGCAGUGGGGAAUAUUGCGCAAUGGGCGGAAGCCUGACGCAGCAACGCCGCGUGCGGGAUGAAGGCCUUCGGGUUGUAAACCGCUUUCAGUAGGGACGAACUCAGACGGUACCUACAGAAGAAGCACCGGCCAACUACGUGCCAGCAGCCGCGGUAACACGUAGGGUGCAAGCGUUGUCCGGAAUCAUUGGGCGUAAAGAGCUCGUAGGCGGCUUAGUAAGUCGGGUGUGAAAUCUCCAGGCUCAACCUGGAGACGCCACCCGAUACUGCUAUAGCUAGAGUCCAGUAGGGGAGUGCGGAAUUCCUGGUGUAGCGGUGAAAUGCGCAGAUAUCACGAGGAACACCGGUGGCGAAGGCGGAUCUCUGGGCCUUACCUGACGCUCACGCGCGAAAGCUAGGGGAGCGAACAGGAUUAGAUACCCUGGUAGUCCUAGCCGUAAACGUUGGGUGCUAGGUGUGGGC